AUUGAACGCUGGCGGCAGGCCUAACACAUGCAAGUCGAGCGGAAACGAGUUAACUGAACCUUCGGGGAACGUUAACGGCGUCGAGCGGCGGACGGGUGAGUAAUGCCUGGGAAAUUGCCCUGAUGUGGGGGAUAACCAUUGGAAACGAUGGCUAAUACCGCAUAAUAGCUUCGGCUCAAAGAGGGGGACCUUCGGGCCUCUCGCGUCAGGAUAUGCCCAGGUGGGAUUAGCUAGUUGGUGAGGUAAUGGCUCACCAAGGCGACGAUCCCUAGCUGGUCUGAGAGGAUGAUCAGCCACACUGGAACUGAGACACGGUCCAGACUCCUACGGGAGGCAGCAGUGGGGAAUAUUGCACAAUGGGCGCAAGCCUGAUGCAGCCAUGCCGCGUGUGUGAAGAAGGCCUUCGGGUUGUAAAGCACUUUCAGUCGUGAGGAAGGUGGUGUAGUUAAUAGCUGCAUCAUUUGACGUUAGCGACAGAAGAAGCACCGGCUAACUCCGUGCCAGCAGCCGCGGUAAUAAAGCCGAAUUCUGGCAGAAUUUCCUUCACACUGGCGGCCCGCUCCGAGCCAUGCAU
RNAcentral lists this ribosomal RNA (574 nucleotides) under uncultured Vibrio sp. Its description in RNAcentral is "bacterial SSU rRNA". It matches the Rfam family "Bacterial small subunit ribosomal RNA", at positions 35 to 539 of the family's 1533-position model. The record is from RNAcentral. Lineage: Bacteria; Pseudomonadati; Pseudomonadota; Gammaproteobacteria; Vibrionales; Vibrionaceae.